RNAcentral lists this long non-coding RNA (293 nucleotides) under Mytilus galloprovincialis (Mediterranean mussel). Lineage: Eukaryota; Metazoa; Mollusca; Bivalvia; Mytilida; Mytilidae. The record is from RNAcentral.
GUCUUAUUAAGAUUUCACACGCUUUAACCAAUUAAUUAGCAUCACUAGUAAACGAACUGUUGACUUCUGUACUCAACAUUUUUAACCUAGUAUGUCUGUUUGUUUUGUUCACACAUCGUUGUCAAUGUAAUGACAUUUUUGUGCAACUGUUUACAGAUAAGCCGAAUGACAGCCGUGAUUCAAUGUUAAAAAAAGCUUUUAAUAUAUAGUAAAGACGAAUGAUGUUUAAAAUGUUCUAAGAUCAUUUGUUUUCGAACAUUGUCUUUCGGGCAAAAAUUACGCACAAAAAAGAC